CCUGAGAAACCCAAAAGAUCGAAUGGGGAGAUUCAUCGUCAGCGGUACUGGUACGUGUGCGGUUCGCGAUGUCCGAGACUUCGGUCUCGCGGCACGCGUCCGCAUGUUUUUUAUUGCCUGGUAUCGUCGGCGUGCACUUCUCCCCUAGUAGGACGUCGCGACCCGUUGGGUGUCGGUCUACGGCCCGGGUGGGUGCCUGUCUCGUGUGCGCUUUAUCGCGUCACUGCGGGGCAGACCCCCGGUUGCCUGACCGGCUGCUCGGCGGUACUCGCAAGGUAUCUGGCCGCAAAUAUUCGAACUGCGUCCGGCCCGUCGCAAGCGAGGCGAGUGUUCCCGAAUGUACGGAUCUAAUGCCGUCAUCGGGCCUAGCCAGCUGUUGGUUGACGGUGUCCUAGGACUGGCUAUGACAAUUAUGAUACCGGUCAGCGACGCUACUGCUUUGGUACUUUC
This 450-nucleotide ribosomal RNA is filed under the name Ephialtes manifestator. Its description in RNAcentral is "eukaryotic LSU rRNA". The record is from RNAcentral. Lineage: Eukaryota; Metazoa; Arthropoda; Insecta; Hymenoptera; Ichneumonidae.